UGCAGGCCCGAGCGCGGCAAUGAUUGGUCUCGGGGGAGGGGUGGGGGGUUGCAAGCCCGAGGAGCGGUGGCAUCCGUUGCAUGAUGCAAAAAGGAUUGAUUUCAAAAGUUGCGAGUUGCUUUGGCAGCAGCCUUGGCGCCUGGGCCACCUCCUUUUCCUUGACCCGCUGGAAGGGCCGGGAAUGUUUUCCAAAACCUGGCGGGACUCAGCCGCGCGGCGAUCGGCGGGACGCUGUACCUGCUCCACGCGCGCUGCCGGCAGACAAUGAGCCUGGAAACGAUUCGAAAAUAGAGCAGGAGCAGAGGAAAGGUCCCCUCUGCUGCGAUGAAGGACUCAGAGACACAGACGGCGCGUUUGGUUGAAAUGACUUCCAUCACCUCUCCCUUCUAUUGUUCAGUCUGGCUCGGGAGUUCAUAGGCACCUUAGCGAACGUGUACACGUCCUGCAAAGUUUCUUGAACGUUUCAUGUGCUUGGUAGGAAGUCAGAGCCUCACGUUCCGCAGUUAGAUUGUUUGCUCUGCCCAGGUCCAAGUAAACAUGGCAGCCUAUUACUGUAUGUGUUUAAAUUAACACCCACAGCAGUGCUGCAGCCUGUGAAAUUACUUAUUUCAGGGUUUCAACUUUCUGCUGCACUGCUGAAUAAAAAUAAAGCAAAAUGCUUUGCGACGACGUCUUUUAGGGCUUCCUUUAAAACCGAGGAGUGGGGAGGAAUGCAGAGCAAACUUUUCUAGAGUGGUUCAGCAUUUUCCAAAUACAUUUGGGGGCAGGGUUUUUUGUUUUGCUUUUAACGAAAAGGUACUUUAGGUUGUGCUGGCAGGUUUGUAGGCUACGCAGAUGCUGUUUUCAUUCUUAAAAUUUCUUCUUGUCAGUUCCCCCAGGGUUUUGAUCUUGGUGAAGAUGCAAUAGUGAUGCAGCCUAGGAGCCCAGGCUGCUGCGGGCUCCUCCUUUCUCUGUCCUUUCUCUGUCCCCGUACAAUUAUCCUGGAUAAUCUGGAUUCACCAGGAUCCUUGUACAGAAACAAGGGAGGCAAGAGGGUCUGAAAAGUUGUGACAAAGGAAGCAAAGAUCAGAGUGAUCUGGAGCCACAAGCCAAGGAAUGUGGGCAGCUUCCAGAAGCUGAAAAAGGCAAGGAAGUGAAUUCUCCUCUGAGCUUCCAGAAGGAGCCAGCCCUGCCAACCCAUUUUGGUCCUUACCGUGGAACCUGCCCUGAUGAUUUGCAGUUAUUCCAUAUACUUAAUCUCUCCACACCUCCCCCUGCACCCCCGAAAGCCUUGACCCCCUGUAAAGAGUAUCUUUUUUAAAAAAAAUUUUUUACACUUUU
This is a non-coding RNA of Vicugna pacos (alpaca), 1320 nucleotides long. The record is from RefSeq and is a predicted model, not a curated record. NCBI's taxonomy places the organism in Eukaryota, Metazoa, Chordata, Mammalia, Artiodactyla, Camelidae.